AAUCUCAUGGUUUGGGCAUUUGGCUAACUUUCUAUUAAAUCUCUCCCAUACUUCAUGAAGCGAGUCCCCACUCUUUUGUAUAAAGUUGAUGAUCUCAUCUCUUGUGU
Molecule: non-coding RNA, 107 nt
Organism: Capsicum annuum
Lineage: Eukaryota; Viridiplantae; Streptophyta; Magnoliopsida; Solanales; Solanaceae
Source: Rfam